CUACGGGUGGCUGCAGUGAGGAAUAUUGCACAAUGGGGGGAACCCUGAUGCAGCAACGCCGCGUGGAGGAUGACGCCUUUCGGUGUGUAAACUCCUUUUAUAUGUCAAGAAAAUGACGGUAGCAUAUGAAUAAGCACCGGCUAACUCCGUGCCAGCAGCCGCGGUAAUACGGAGGGUGCAAGCGUUACUCGGAAUCACUGGGCGUAAAGGACGCGUAGGCGGGUUGGAAAGUCAGGUGUGAAAUCCUACAGCUUAACUGUAGAACUGCACUUGAAACUUCUAAUCUAGAGUAUGGGAGGGGGAGAUGGAAUUAGUGGUGUAGGGGUAAAAUCCGUAGAUAUCACUAGGAAUACCUAAAGCGAAGGCGAUCUCCUGGAACAGUACUGACGCUAAGGCGUGAAAGCGUGGGGAGAAAACAGGAUUAGAUACCCCUGUAGUC
This 439-nucleotide ribosomal RNA is filed under the name uncultured bacterium. RNAcentral's name for it is "partial 16S ribosomal RNA". It matches the Rfam family "Bacterial small subunit ribosomal RNA", at positions 339 to 795 of the family's 1533-position model. The record is from RNAcentral.